GUUGUGGUUAAAAAGCUCGUAGUUGGAUCUCAACAGCCUUGAAGCGGUUAACUUUGUAGUUUUACUGCUUUAUAGGCUGUGCUUUUGCUGGAGGUUUAGGGGUGCUCUUGAUCGAGUGUCUCUGGAUGCCAGCAGGUUUACUUUGAAAAAAUUAGAGUGCUCAAAGCAGGCUAAAAUGCCUGAAUAUUCGUGCAUGGAAUAAUAGAAUAGGAUGUCGAUCCUAUUUUGUUGGUUUUCGGGACUCGACAUAAUGAUAAAUAGGGACAGUCGGGGGCAUUUGUAUUCAAACGACAGAGGUGAAAUUCUUGGACCGUUUGAAGACAAACUACUGCGAAAGCAUUUGCCAAGAAUGUUUUCAUUAAUCAAGAACGAAAGUUAGAGGUUCGAAGGCGAUUAGAUACCGCCCUAGUUCUAACCAUAAACGAUGCCAGCUAAGCGAUCUGCCUGCGUUUUUACUGUA
This 460-nucleotide ribosomal RNA is filed under the name uncultured marine eukaryote. Its description in RNAcentral is "SSU rRNA". It matches the Rfam family "Eukaryotic small subunit ribosomal RNA", at positions 612 to 1073 of the family's 1831-position model. The record is from RNAcentral.